UACGGGGGGUGCGAGCGUUGUCCGGAAUUAUUGGGCGUAAAGAGCUCGUAGGCGGUGUGUCGCGUCGGCCGUGAAAACCUGCAGCUUAACUGUGGGCGUGCGGUCGAUACGGGCAUCACUGGAGUUCGGCAGGGGAGACUGGAAUUCCUGGUGUAGCGGUGAAAUGCGCAGAUAUCAGGAGGAACACCGGUGGCGAAGGCGGGUCUCUGGGCCGAUACUGACGCUGAGGAGCGAAAGCGUGGGGAGCGAACAGG
RNAcentral lists this ribosomal RNA (254 nucleotides) under uncultured bacterium. RNAcentral describes it as "partial 16S ribosomal RNA". It matches the Rfam family "Bacterial small subunit ribosomal RNA", at positions 524 to 776 of the family's 1533-position model. The record is from RNAcentral.